CACAGAGAGCUUGCUCUCGGGUGACGAGUGGCGGACGGGUGAGUAAUGUCUGGGAAACUGCCCGAUGGAGGGGGAUAACUACUGGAAACGGUAGCUAAUACCGCAUAACGUCUUCGGACCAAAGUGGGGGACCUUCGGGCCUCACACCAUCGGAUGUGCCCAGAUGGGAUUAGCUAGUAGGUGGGGUAACGGCUCACCUAGGCGACGAUCCCUAGCUGGUCUGAGAGGAUGACCAGCCACACUGGAACUGAGACACGGUCCAGACUCC
This 268-nucleotide ribosomal RNA is filed under the name uncultured Enterobacteriaceae bacterium. RNAcentral's name for it is "partial 16S ribosomal RNA". It matches the Rfam family "Bacterial small subunit ribosomal RNA", at positions 70 to 339 of the family's 1533-position model. Lineage: Bacteria; Pseudomonadati; Pseudomonadota; Gammaproteobacteria; Enterobacterales; Enterobacteriaceae. The record is from RNAcentral.